RNAcentral lists this long non-coding RNA (345 nucleotides) under Microcebus murinus (gray mouse lemur). RNAcentral describes it as "lncRNA (ENSMICG00000048761.1)". Lineage: Eukaryota; Metazoa; Chordata; Mammalia; Primates; Cheirogaleidae. The record is from RNAcentral.
CAUUAUAAUUAUACUUUAACUUAUGGAUUUAUUUGUCCAUUUUUUUUUCCUCUCCAGCUCAUUUAAAACUAUGUGAAGAUGGGCUGUGUGUUCACUUCCACCUUCCUGGUGCUUAGCACAGCGACAGGAUCACAGGAGGUGCUCAAUGAAUGUUGUUGGCAUCCUAGGCUCAAUCCACUUUCUUCUCGAAAGAGUAAGGACUUGUCUGCAGAGAAGCAACCCCUUGAGAAUCACUGGAAACCAGGGAUGAACUGUUGUGAGAGGGCAAGCUAUCCAGGAGUAGGAGCAGCCAUCUUGGGUCCAAGUGUUGACAAGCCUGAAGAUCUGGUUGAGCUGCUCAAAUGA